Molecule: unclassified non-coding RNA, 354 nt
Filed under: soil metagenome
Description: partial contains 5.8S ribosomal RNA, internal transcribed spacer 2, and large subunit ribosomal RNA
Rfam family: 5.8S ribosomal RNA (bases 1-120)
Source: RNAcentral
GAUGAAGAACGCAGCGAAACGCGAUAUGUAAUGUGAAUUGCAGAAUUCAGUGAAUCAUCGAAUCUUUGAACGCACAUGGCGCCUUCCAGUAUCCUGGGAGGCAUGCCUGUCCGAGCAUCGUUUCAACCCUCGAGCCCUCGUGGCCCGGCGUUGGGGAUCUGCCACGGCAGGCCCCGAAAUACAGUGGCGGACCCGUUAGGCCCCUCCUUUGCGUAGUAGCAUCAGCCUCGCAUCGGGAGCCGGCGGGCUCUCCUGCCUCUAAACCCCCCAACAAGCCCGCUCCGGCGGCACCAAGGUUGACCUCGGAUCAGGUAGGAAUACCCGCUGAACUUAAGCAUAUCAAUAAGCGGAGGA